AGUGUGCCCGAGGAGCCAGGGACAGACAGAAGUUCUCGGUUUGGAGGAACUUGGAGAAGCGGUAUUACCUUGGGUUUUUUUCGACAUUUGAAAUAACAAAUGCAAAUUUUAUUGGCGUCGUGACACUGAGCUGCUACUUUAUUAGGCUCUCAGAAGCCCACUCAGUUCUCACCUCAGUACUUUUAGUUGGUAGGAUCCACGUUCCCUCCCGAACUAAAGUGAAGCUAAGGAACCACUUAAAGGAAACAAGAAAGCUGCCGGUGAACUGGCUGAUACUGUAAUUCAGUUGAUGAAUGAAAUGGAAGCUGGUAAUCCAUGGAAGGCUGGAUGUUUGCAGGGUACCUACUGUGAAGCUGUGACCCUGGCUGGGUCAGUGGCACAUCUAUCAUCUCAGUGACUCGGGAGGCUGAGGCAGGAGGAUUGCAAGUUGGAGACCAGCCUCAACAACUUAACAAGAAAGACUGUGUCUCAACAUAAAAAAUAGGACUGUGGAUGCAGCUCAGUGGUAAAGUGCCCCCAGGUUCAAUACCUGGUACACAAAAUAAUAAUAAACUAACGCUUUGGGGCAGUAUGACCCUGAAAGUCUGGGUCAUUUGCCAGAGUGCCUCCUCCUGAACCUGGAGUUCUUCUCAGCUGGAUGCUCUACACCUCUUUGGUAUCUGACUUCUAGGACAGUUGGCCAGCUGCUGGACACAGCCAUUUGUGGGAGGUGCCUGCAAAGGCGGCCUCUGCCCUGAGGUCAGACUCACCCUCUGCACUUCUCAUCCUUCACAUUGGUGUCCCUCAAACCGCCUGUGGUCGGCUCCUCCCUGGUGCCUUCCUUAGACGCCUUUUUUUUUUUUAAUAUUUAUUAGUUGUAGAUGAGCACUCAGUACCCUUAUUUACUUUUAUGUGGUGCUCAGGAUUGAACCCAGUGCCUCACAUAUGAGAGGCAACACUUGACCACUGAGCUGCAGCCUCAGUGCUCCUCGGACGUCUUAAACAUGCCCUUCGUUUUCUCCUGGGCUUCUCGGCGGGGAGUCGGUGUACAACAGAAAACUCCUCCACCAGCUGUUGUUUUGAUACCCUGAAAGGACAGGGAACCCAAUCACAGACACCUAGUGUGGCAUCUGUGUGCCACAGCCUGGAUGUUGAACAGCCCUGUGUUAAAAGCUCGGUCCCCAGAGGGACUCUACUGGGAGAGGGUGGCAGUGUUGAUGGAGGGGGCUAUGGGAGGUCCUUAGGUCAUUAGGAGUGUGCUUGAAGGGGACUGUGAGACCCCAGGCUCUUUCUCUUUGCUUCCUGGCCAUGAGGUGGGUGGCUUGGCUCUGCCACAUGCCCCCCAUGACGUGCUGCCCAGCUACAGGCCCAGAACAACAGAGCAGUUGACCACUGACUGGAACCUCCCAAACUGUGAGCCCAAAUAAAUAUUUUCUUUGUGAA
Marmota monax (woodchuck) is the source of this 1422-nucleotide long non-coding RNA. RefSeq lists it as uncharacterized. The transcript has 2 exons. The record is from RefSeq and is a predicted model, not a curated record. Lineage: Eukaryota; Metazoa; Chordata; Mammalia; Rodentia; Sciuridae.